ACACCUCAACUCUCAUGGUUUGCCAUGAUGAGCUUGGACUUUGGAGGUCUUGCCGGCCUACGGUCGGCUCCUCUCAAAUGAAUCAGCUUGCCAGUGUUUGGUGGCGUCACGGGUGUGAUAACUAUCUACGCUUGUGGUUUUCACCAGGUAACCUUCAGCGAUGGAGGUUCGCUGGAGCUCACAAAUGUCUCUCCUCGGUGAGGACAGCUUUUGAAC
This 216-nucleotide unclassified non-coding RNA is filed under the name uncultured Tomentella. RNAcentral's name for it is "sequence contains ITS2". The record is from RNAcentral. Lineage: Eukaryota; Fungi; Basidiomycota; Agaricomycetes; Thelephorales; Thelephoraceae.